GACUCUUACGAUGAGGAUGUCAAGCUCCCUCUUCUGAAGUCUUUUGAGGACACUCUCGCUGGCAGAAUCGAACCAAUUAACAUAGCCACCACUGAGUAA
RNAcentral lists this small nucleolar RNA (99 nucleotides) under Leersia perrieri. RNAcentral's name for it is "snoRNA snoR30". It matches the Rfam family "Small nucleolar RNA R30/Z108". From Rfam's summary of the family: snoR30 is a C/D box small nucleolar RNA which acts as a methylation guide for 18S ribosomal RNA in plants. Lineage: Eukaryota; Viridiplantae; Streptophyta; Magnoliopsida; Poales; Poaceae. The record is from Rfam by way of RNAcentral.